UACGUAGGUGGCAAGCGUUGUCCGGAAUAACUGGGCGUAAAGCGCAUGUAGACGGCAUGAUAAGCCAAAUGUGAAAUGUAGGGGCUCAACCCCUGCACUGCGAUUGGAACUGUCAAGCUUGAGUGCAGGAGAGGCAAAUGGAAUUCCCAGUGUAGCAGUGAAAUGCGUAGAGAUUGGGAGGAACACCAGUGGCGAAGGCGAUUUGCUGGACUGCAACUGACGUUGAGAUGCGAAAGCUAGGGGAGCAAACGGGAUUAGAUACCCCGGUAGUCCUAGCCGUAAACGAUGGAUACUAGGUGUAGAGGGUAUCGACCCCUUCUGUGCCGCAGCGAACGCAAUAAGUAUCCCGCCUGGGGAGUACGGUCGCAAGACUGAA
Molecule: ribosomal RNA, 376 nt
Filed under: uncultured bacterium
Lineage: Bacteria
Description: bacterial SSU rRNA
Rfam family: Bacterial small subunit ribosomal RNA
Source: RNAcentral